Molecule: ribosomal RNA, 497 nt
Filed under: uncultured bacterium
Lineage: Bacteria
Description: partial 16S ribosomal RNA
Rfam family: Bacterial small subunit ribosomal RNA
Source: RNAcentral
GAUGAACGCUGGCGGCGUGCCUAAUACAUGCAAGUCGAGCGAACAGACGAGGAGCUUGCUCCUCCGACGUUAGCGGCGGACGGGUGAGUAACACGUAGGUAACCUACCUAUAAGACUGGGAUAACUUCGGGAAACCGGAGCUAAUACCGGAUAAUAUUUUGAACCGCAUGGUUCGAUAGUGAAAGAUGGCUUUGCUAUCACUUAUAGAUGGACCUGCGCCGUAUUAGCUAGUUGGUAAGGUAACGGCUUACCAAGGCAACGAUGCGUAGCCGACCUGAGAGGGUGAUCGGCCACACUGGAACUGAGACACGGUCCAGACUCCUACGGGAGGCAGCAGUAGGGAAUCUUCCGCAAUGGGCGAAAGCCUGACGGAGCAACGCCGCGUGAGUGAUGAAGGUCUUCGGAUCGUAAAACUCUGUUAUUAGGGAAGAACAAACGUGUAAGUAACUAUGCACGUCUUGACGGUACCUAAUCAGAAAGCCACGGCUAACUACGUG